CUCAGCUCUCGUCUGGACCACACGCAUCGCCUCAGCACUACUUUCCAGGCACCUGUCCAGAAGAGAAGAAAUACAUACCCCAGGGGGCUUUGCGGUCAGAGGGAAGAUAUUACCCCUGAAUAUUUGUGUGCUCAUUUGAAGAAGGAAAGAGAGGGAGAGAGAGAGGGAGAUACCCAUGCUGCAGCCCAUGGAUGAGGCCAAAAUAGGGUUGGUGAGCAUGACAUGAAUGAGACUGAAAUCUGACAAUAGGAGCCUGUAGAGAAGGAUGCUGUGGGGAUCUGCACCCCGUGGUGAACACAUGCUGGAGUAGUCCACUCCUGAAGGAUGCACUGUGUGGUAGAGACCCAUGUUGCACUCUGUGGGAAACUCAAAGAGGAGCAGUUCAGGAAGGAUGGCACCCCACGACAG
This is a long non-coding RNA of Gallus gallus (chicken), 408 nucleotides long. NCBI's taxonomy places the organism in Eukaryota, Metazoa, Chordata, Aves, Galliformes, Phasianidae. The record is from Ensembl.